Molecule: long non-coding RNA, 337 nt
Filed under: Lathyrus oleraceus (garden pea)
Lineage: Eukaryota; Viridiplantae; Streptophyta; Magnoliopsida; Fabales; Fabaceae
Description: Pisum sativum (pea) long non-coding RNA (PSAT_LNC020577)
Source: RNAcentral
GUUUAGACGCUGAGUUGAAGCUCGUCGGUGAGUACGGACUCAGGUGCAAACGUGAACUCUGGAGAGUGAAGUACGCUCUCAGUCGAAUCAGGAACAAUGCUAGAAACCUUCUCACUCUUGAUGAGAAGAAUCCUCGUAGGAUUUUUGAAGGUGAAGCUUUGCUCCGAAGAAUGUUUCGUUAUGGGUUACUUGAUGAACUCUCAGUCGAAUCAGGAACAAUGCUAGAAACCUUCUCACUCUUGAUGAGAAGAAUCCUCGUAGGAUUUUUGAAGGUGAAGCUUUGCUCCGAAGAAUGUUUCGUUAUGGGUUACUUGAUGAGACACAUAAUAAGCUUGAU